AGUCAGUGGUGAAAUCCUGGAGCUCAACUCCAGAACUGCCAUUGAUACUAUCUAUCUUGAAUAUUGUGGAGGUAAGCGGAAUAUGUCAUGUAGCGGUGAAAUGCUUAGAUAUGACAUAGAACACCCAUUGCGAAGGCAGCUUACUACGCAUAUAUUGACGCUGAGGCACGAAAGCGUGGGGAUCAAACAGGAUUAGAUACCCUGGUAGUCCACGCCCUAAACUAUGGAUACUCGACAUAUGCGAUACACUGUAUGUGUCUGAGCGAAAGCAUUAAGUAUCCCACCUGGGAAGUACGUUCGCAGGAAUGAAACUCAAAGGAAUUGGCGGGGGUCCGCACAAGCGGUGGAGUAUGUGGUUUAAUUCGAUGAUACGCGAGGAACCUUACCUGGGCUAGAAUGCUGGGAGACCGCUAGUGAAAGCUAGUUUUGUAGCAAUACACUGCCAGUAAGGUGCUGCAUGGCCGUCGUCAGCUCGUGCCGUGAGGUGUUGGGUUAAGUCCCGCAACGAGCGCAACCCCUAUCUUUAGUUGCCAACAGGUAAUGCUGGGAACUCUAAAGAAACUGCCGCCGUAAGGUGUGAGGAAGGAGGGGAUGAUGUCAGGUCAUCAUGGCCUUUAUGCCCAGGGCUACACACGUACUACAAUGGGGGAGACAAAGGGCUGCAACAUAGCGAUAUGAAGCCAAUCCCAAAAACUCCCUCUCAGUUCAGAUUGCAGGCUGCAACUCGCCUGCAUGAAGCUGGAAUCGCUAGUAAUCGUAUAUCAGCAAUGAUACGGUGAAUACGUUCCCGGACCUUGCACACACCGCCCGUCAAGCCAUGGGAGUCGGGUGUACCUAAAGUCGGUAACCGAAAGGAGCUGCCUAGGGUAAAAUCGAUGACUGGGGCUAAGUCGUAACAAGGUAACC
Molecule: ribosomal RNA, 906 nt
Filed under: uncultured bacterium
Lineage: Bacteria
Description: bacterial SSU rRNA
Rfam family: Bacterial small subunit ribosomal RNA
Source: RNAcentral